Molecule: ribosomal RNA, 444 nt
Filed under: uncultured bacterium
Lineage: Bacteria
Description: partial 16S ribosomal RNA
Rfam family: Bacterial small subunit ribosomal RNA
Source: RNAcentral
GUAGGGAAUAUUGGGCAAUGGUCGGAAGACUGACCCAGCCAUGCCGCGUGCAGGAAGACGGCCCUCUGGGUUGUAAACUGCUUUUAUCUGGGAAGAAAAAGGCCAUGCGUGGCAAAUUGCCGGUACCAGAUGAAUAAGCACCGGCUAACUCCGUGCCAGCAGCCGCGGUAAUACGGAGGGUGCGAGCGUUGUCCGGAUUUAUUGGGUUUAGAGGGUGCGUAGGCGGCUGAUUAAGUCAGCGGUGAAAGACUUCGGCUUAACCGGAGCAGUGCCGUUGAUACUGGUUGGCUUGAGUGUCGGAGGGGUACAUGGAAUUGAUGGUGUAGCGGUGAAAUGCAUAGAUACCAUCAGGAACACCGAUAGCGAAGGCAUUGUACUGGCCGACAACUGACGCUGAUGCACGAAAGUGUGGGGAUCGAACAGGAUUAGAAACCCUUGUAGUCC